This 1273-nucleotide unclassified non-coding RNA is filed under the name Hevea brasiliensis (rubber tree). Lineage: Eukaryota; Viridiplantae; Streptophyta; Magnoliopsida; Malpighiales; Euphorbiaceae. The record is from RNAcentral.
AGUUGCAGUAUGUGGCUUUUAUGGAGCCCUAGACUCUUUGGAGUAUAUUGACCAGAAAAAGAACAAGAACGAAAUAAAAGAAAUGGGAUUUACGAUUUAGAACAGAGAAAGAGGUGGACAACAGAGUCACAGUCAUGGCUAUGCCUUCCAUUAUUGUUAAAAAUGAAAAUACUCUUUAAUGACUAACUUGUAUAAAUUGAAGGUCAUUUCUGAUUGUUUUCUUUGUCAAAAAUUACGAUUAGAUUUAUCUACUAUCUUAUUCAAAGUACUUAAGAAAAAUUGGUAGUUUUAUUUUUUAUUUUUUGAGGUUGUUCUUGGUAUAUUGUGAAUGGAAAGUCCUUGCAAGUUUCAACUUCAUAAUUUUUGUUAGAUAUAUGCUCCUAAUCCUUGGUAGUUGGUAGAAUGUUAAUUCACCCUACGGUGAUGGUUCUUAACCCUUUCUUCUUGCCUAUUAAGCUGCCGACAUGCCAAAUGCUGGACAGUUGAUAUGCAUGCAUGAAUGCAUACGUGCACCUAUUGAUUUCUGGACUACUCAUAGUUAUAUGUAUACAGAAAACCCAAUCAGAAAUGUGAACUUUAAUUUUUUGAAAUGUUCAGGGGCAUUCUAUAAUAUAUGUUGUACUUCUAUUUGUUAAGUUGGUAUAUAUCUUAUGCGACUUCUUGCUUGCUUUGCUACGAAUCUAAGUUUCUUUGUAUGUGAAGCCAAUGGUUCUGUGCAGUCAAGUUGUCUGGUUUUUGAUACUUGCACAGGCAUCCUAGUGUUGUAAGCUCUACAACAAAUUGCAUAGGCUUGCCUGUUAUGAAAAAAGUUUAUUUGAUCAUAUUUGCCAAUAUCCAUGUAUGAAUUGUGUUGGUAUUAUUAUUAUUAUUUUCUUUUUGGUAUUUAUACUGCAAAAAAUAUGAGAAAAAGUUGAAUUCAAGACAAGCUAUUUAUUCAAUGUUCGAUAGAUGCAUCUCAUCUUCUGCAAUGGACGAUUGAGAUUGCAUCUUUUUGAGUUACUGGAGAGAGAAUUGUGUUAUUUUUUGUUAUAUAAAAAUAGGUAGAAUGAAAACUCUUAAGUAAUUUAUCUUCUUAGCGAGACAAGCCAGGCAUAAAUUAUGUCUUAUUCUUACAUGCAUGUAUGUUUGGGAUUAUAUUUUACAUCAUAGAGAUAACUAUUUUGUGCCGACAAAUUUAAUGGUGUCACAUGAUAACAUCAUAUGAUAAUUUGGAGAAGAAUUAUGAUUUUUUUUAUACAUUUACAUUUUUUAUUUACAUUUUAUUUAAAAUUUU